AUACGUAGGGGGCGAGCGUUGUCCGGAAUGAUUGGGCGUAAAGGGCGCGUAGGCGGCCCGGUAAGUCUGGAGUGAAAGUCCUGUUUUUAAGAUGGGAAUUGCUUUGGAUACUGUCGGGCUUGAGUGCAGGAGAGGUAAGUGGAAUUCCCAGUGUAGCGGUGAAAUGCGUAGAGAUUGGGAGGAACACCAGUGGCGAAGGCGACUUACUGGACUGUAACUGACGCUGAGGCGCGAAAGUGUGGGGAGCAAACAGGAUUAGAUACCCUGGUAGUCCACACUGUAAACGAUGAAUGCUAGGUGUAGGGGGUAUCGACCCCUUCUGUGCCGCAGUCAACACAAUAAGCAUUCCGCCUGGGGAGUACGGCCGCAAGGUUGAAACUCAAAUGAAUCGGCGGGG
This 397-nucleotide ribosomal RNA is filed under the name uncultured bacterium. RNAcentral's name for it is "partial 16S ribosomal RNA". It matches the Rfam family "Bacterial small subunit ribosomal RNA", at positions 523 to 918 of the family's 1533-position model. The record is from RNAcentral.